GACAGAGGGUGCAAACGUUGUUCGGAAUUACUGGGCGUAAAGCGCGUGUAGGCUGCUCCAAAAGUCGGAUGUGAAAGCCCUGGGCUCAACCUAGGAAGUGCAUUCGAUACUGUGGAGCUGGAGUCCUGGAGAGGAAGGCGGAAUUCUCGGUGUAGAGGUGAAAUUCGUAGAUAUCGAGAGGAACACCGGUGGCGAAGGCGGCCUUCUGGACAGUGACUGACGCUGAGGCGCGACAGCGUGGGGGAGCAAACAGG
RNAcentral lists this ribosomal RNA (254 nucleotides) under uncultured bacterium. RNAcentral's name for it is "partial 16S ribosomal RNA". It matches the Rfam family "Bacterial small subunit ribosomal RNA", at positions 524 to 776 of the family's 1533-position model. The record is from RNAcentral.